GUUGCUGCAAGCGGAGGAGGAAUUGCCUCUGCAGCCAAUUUUUUGAAGAGAUUCCCAAAUGAAGAGCUAACGAAACAAAACAAAGUUUAAAAGGACAAUAGAAUCAAAAAGGAAAAGGAAAAGAAAAAGAAGAGAUCUAUUAAACAAAAGCAAAACACAUUUUCGUUGCAUCGACAUGAACAAUCAGAUCUAUCUGUUUCUAACAUAAAGAAGACCCAAGAUUCAUCUAACACAGCGAGAAACGAAACGAAACAAGCCAAAGAUCGAUCGAGAAAAGCGAAAGAACCAAGGGAGGGAAAAACGAAAAAGCAACCCAAGAAAAAUCGAUAGGAAGAAGCAAAGGAAACCCACCUUCUCAUUAGGGUAGGAAAGAAACGAUCCAAGCAUCCGAAGGCGAUACAACCUUCUCUUAAGGCUAGGAGAGCCCAACCGAAGCAAGAAACCCGAGAAAAUCGACCGAAAGAAGAAAAAGAACCCUCCCUUAUCUUUAGGGUAGGUCAGAAAGGAAACAAGCAUCGGAAUGCAAUAGAACCCCAACUUGAGGCUCGGAGAGCGAAAACCGAAGCAAGAAACCUUGAAAUGAUCGAUCAAGAAAAGCAAUAGAACCGCCUACCUUCCCCGCUCCGCUCGUUCCAUGAUUCGUUUGAGGACGACAAAGAACACAAAAUGACACAAGAAACGCAACAGAGGUCGAUCGGGAGAAGCGAUAAAACACAAAUUCUCUUACCUUCUCCGAUCUCCUCGCUUUACAACGCCUUCCGGCACCUUCUCUCGCAAGAUCUUUCACGGAGACAGAACCCUAAUCGAAGCUCUCCUCCCUUGCCUCCUCUCAGAAUCGCAUAGGCUGCUUUGGCUUUGGGGAAGAAUUGAUCGCGGCUUCCUGCUUCUUGUUCGUUCGACCACUUCUUGUACGAGAGUCAAAAGUUCUCAAAGCUCCGAGGCAAAAAG
This 948-nucleotide long non-coding RNA is filed under the name Musa acuminata (dwarf banana). Its description in RNAcentral is "long non-coding RNA (MACU_LNC006442)". The record is from RNAcentral. Lineage: Eukaryota; Viridiplantae; Streptophyta; Magnoliopsida; Zingiberales; Musaceae.